GUACACUCCUACGGGAGGCAGCAGUGGGGAAUAUUGCACAAUGGGCGCAAGCCUGAUGCAGCCAUGCCGCGUGUAUGAAGAAGGCCUUCGGGUUGUAAAGUACUUUCAGCGGGGAGGAAGGCAAUACGGUUAAUAACCGUGUUGAUUGACGUUACCCGCAGAAGAAGCACCGGCUAACUCCGUGCCAGCAGCCGCGGUAAUACGGAGGGUGCAAGCGUUAAUCGGAAUUGCUGGGCGUAAAGCGCACGCAGGCGGUCUGUCAAGUCGGAUGUGAAAUCCCCGGGCUCAACCUGGGAACUGCAUUCGAAACUGGCAGGCUUGAGUCUUGUAGAGGGGGGUAGAAUUCCAGGUGUAGCGGUGAAAUGCGUAGAGAUCUGGAGGAAUACCGGUGGCGAAGGCGGCCCCCUGGACAAAGACUGACGCUCAGGUGCGAAAGCGUGGGGAGCAAACAGGAUUAGAAACCCUAGUAGUCCC
Molecule: ribosomal RNA, 474 nt
Filed under: uncultured organism
Description: partial 16S ribosomal RNA
Rfam family: Bacterial small subunit ribosomal RNA
Source: RNAcentral